This 425-nucleotide ribosomal RNA is filed under the name uncultured bacterium. RNAcentral describes it as "bacterial SSU rRNA". It matches the Rfam family "Bacterial small subunit ribosomal RNA", at positions 356 to 772 of the family's 1533-position model. The record is from RNAcentral.
GGGGAAUUGUUCGCAAUGGGCGCAAGCCUGACGACGCAACGCCGCGUGGAGGAUGAAGAUCUUCGGGUCGUAAACUCCUGUCGAGCGGGACGAACACUUACCGGGCUAACAUCCGGGUAGGCUGACGGUACCUCCUUAGCAAGCACCGGCUAACUUCGUGCCAGCAGCCGCGGUAAUACGAAGGGUGCAAACGUUGCUCGGAAUUAUUGGGCGUAAAGCGCACGUAGGCGGUAUUGCAAGUCGGAUGUGAAAUCCCUCGGCUCAACCAAGGAAGUGCAUCCGAAACUGCCGUACUUGAGUACUUAAGAGGAUCGCGGAAUUCCCGGUGUAGAGGUGAAAUUCGUAGAUAUCGGGAGGAACACCAGUGGCGAAGGCGGCGAUCUGGGAAGAUACUGACGCUGAGGUGCGAAAGCGUGGGGAGCAAA